RNAcentral lists this long non-coding RNA (237 nucleotides) under Glycine max (soybean). Its description in RNAcentral is "long non-coding RNA (GMAX_LNC001588)". Lineage: Eukaryota; Viridiplantae; Streptophyta; Magnoliopsida; Fabales; Fabaceae. The record is from RNAcentral.
CAUUUCUCGUGAUGCCAAUGGGGCGGCGGAUGUCUUGGCAGGUUGAGGUAGGCGCGCUCAGGCUCAUGACCAGCAGUGGACCUCUCCAUCGAAUAUAGUUUAGCUAGAGAGUCUUCUGUUGGACUCAGUUGCUAUUCCUUAGUUUCUUUCUUUUUGUCUUUUCAUUCCUACCUUACCAAAAAAAGAGUAUACGAUUACUGUACUGUAAUUAUAUGGUCUAUAUCCAGUAGUUGUAUA